This 153-nucleotide small nuclear RNA is filed under the name Fusarium poae. The record is from RNAcentral. Lineage: Eukaryota; Fungi; Ascomycota; Sordariomycetes; Hypocreales; Nectriaceae.
UUUAGAAACUUCGCUAACUUUCCCACAGAACGAUACAGAGAAGGUUCGUUCGAACAACAUCAUCAACCCGAUCACGAUACUGACCGAAUAUAGAUUAGCAUGGCCCCUGCACUAAGGAUGACACGCUCAAUCAAAGAGAAGCUACCAAUUUUU